CAGAUUCUGAUUUAACCACUUGACGAUUUAGCAUCUACAUUCAUUAAACUUGUUAGACACUUGUAUAAACAAAUCAUCAUAACGGCAAACCACAAAGACAAGUUUACAAAUCAAAAUAAGAUAAUCCCAAAUAAUCAUACAUUCACCAUAACAAGUAUUAGAGAUAAUAUUUUAUUUCUUAAUUAUUUGAUGUAGUUUAAACUUAUUUAGUAGAAAUGUAUUAUUGACAACCCGAGAUGCUUUACUUUUGUAGUUGACUGUAUUGUUUUAUUGCCAAGUUUUUGUUUUAACAAUUGUUUUAUUAUGGAGUUCAAAUGUAUAAUUACUAUGUUAUUUAUUGUUAAUAUUUUUUAUGGUAAGUAAACUCUUACAAGUUUGAGUCAAGUUUACAAAAGCCUUCACAAGUUUCUAUGAACUCUCAAGUUUUACAAUCUUGAUUGCAUGCAUUUUGCUUCAAAUAGUUUUAUAUCAUUACAUGAUAGAUGUCCUUUAAAAUGCUAAACUCAAUAUUCUACCUAGGAUAAGGAGAUUAAAAACUCGUAAAUUGGGGAUCUUAACUUGGAUGGUAAGAUCCUAUGGUUUUACAUAAAAUGCAAAACUAUACAUAUAUAGUGCAUAUGCAUAAGAAUAUCAUAAACAAAGAAAAUAACCUCCAAAAUCACUACAUUAAAACAAAAUUAGAUUUAAAAGUUAUAACUAUAGUAAGUCAGGUAUCCAAAUAGUAUAAUCAGAAAUGUGAGAAAGAAAUUCUUAAUUCUAUUUGUUUAUUAGUUGACUAGAAAAUUAUGUUGUUGAACUAUCUUAGUAUUUAGGUUUAGGAUUUAACCUAACCACACAAUUUUCCAUUUAUGCGGGAUUUAUACUUACCCACUCACCUACCAUAAUGAAGGUGCACGUGGCUGCAAAUUAUGGUGGGCAAGGAUUGUCCUUAAUUAAUAUGCAUUUGAACCAACACCCCCUAUGCCAAGGACUAUAAGUCUGGAAUUGGUCAAUGUAGGUGACCCAACAAUUGAUUUAGGAUUGCCUUUGUUACCAUCAUAGAGUUUGAGCAUAGGGUCAAGCUCAAUCCCACAAAAUUAACUUCUAUGGUAAGGAUUACUAAACUGAAAAUGUUGCUACAGCCAAAGGAAGGUGCAAUAAUAAAAGUUAUAAGUGGCAAUACUCUAAGGCAACAAUGGAAUGACAAAGAAAAGGUUGAACAGUCCAAGAUGGAGAAGAUCACGAAUGGAUUGGGAAGGGCUUCAUAAAUAAGAAGAAAGGGAUUUUCCAGGGUGUGUUCAACUCAUAGCAUAGUAUGAUCCUACAUGGUAAAUAUUGACUUCAACAACAAUGGUCUUCUAGCUAAACAUGGAUGCAAAAGUAUGAAAAACCAUCCUUCAAACUAGGUCAUUGUUAGGUUCCUAGACAGAAAAACCAGAAUUCCCUCCCAAACACAGCAAGAAGAAAGAAAACUCUGUUUUAUUACAAUGCAGAACAGAACACCCAAAAGGGUUACAAAGGAGAAUAGCUCCUUUCACACAGGUUUAAUCCUCCUUUCACACAGGUUUAAUCCUGUCAACUUCUUACAACAAUUCAGAUAUCCCCUCCCCCACAGCAGGUUGGUCUUUAUUUAAAGACCCCCUCACCACAACUAACUAACCCAACAACUAACUAACCCGCUUAACCCUUAUUUUCAAAUUUCCUUCUAUGAUACACCCUCCAAGUGCUGUCUUUAUUUUCCUGCCUAACAUUACUCAUUUCUGACAAAACAACCUUGUCCUCAAGGUUGAAAUCAGGUCACUGCUCCUUAAUGUUCUUUUUCCAAAUCUUCCUCAAUCUGUCCCCACCCAGAAUGAUUCACCUCUGUAGGGUCUCCCUCAUCUUCUGCAAAAAUGAUAACCCUCAAAUUCUUUUCAGGGCAGCGAUGUCCGGGACCGUACGCCCCUCCACAAUGGAAACAUCUUCCCUCUUCCCUUAUUGUCACAUAUUCGGGAUAGGAAAGGGUCCUGGACCCCCUGUUUCUGGAUCCUUCUCCUGGCCGAAACUCUCUAUUGGAAGAAGAAGACUCAUUCCUUGCUGUGCUAGUCAAACUAGACGAGACUGGCCCACUAUUCCCCUUAUGCAAAUUUGUAUGGCAUGUUAUCCCGGUGCUUCCUUGAUAAUGCAGAAAAGACGCAUUAUUCCUAUGCCCAAAACUGCUAAUUUUUUCUUCCCUGAAGGACUCCUCAACAUCCAGCGCAAUCUCCAUGGCUUUCAUCAAUUCUUUGGGGUCAUGCGGUCUGAUUUGAUUACGAAUCUUGGACUGUAAUCCAGCAAAAAAAUACCCCAGCAGCUGUUCCUCCCCUGUCUGUGGUGCUUGUGACACUAACAUCUCAAAAUCUUGAAUGUAUUCAUCAAUUCUUCCAUUCUGUUUGAUCUUCGCCAGCUUCUCAAAAACAGAACUUCUCUCCUUUCCCCCAAACCUCCUAUUCAGCGCCAUGGAAAACUCUUCCCAAGAAGGAUUCUUGGAGUUCUUUCUCCAAAAACUGAACCAAGGACUGGCGCUUCCCUCCAUACUGAUGAAGGCCAGUUUUAAUCUUUCCCCUGCUAUCACAUUCUGCACCUCAAAGAAUUUUUCAGCUCUGGCCAGCCAACCCAUUGGGUCCUCGCCCUCAAACCCCGGUAACUCCACUCUCCUACCCCACGGCUUCAUCUCUCCUUCCUUCAUCUUUUCCCAUUGGCUAUCCUGCCUUGAUGGUUCCUCCACUCUUUCCUCACCAUUCACCGAACUCUCUCCCCCUUCCGACCUUCUAUCUCCUUUCUUGAGAUCCCGCAACAUUUCUUUGAUUUCUUUUAACUCCAGCAUGCCUUCUUUCAACCCCAGAAUUUCUGCUUUUAUUUCAGAAUUCCAUUUCAAUUGUUCGCUGGUAAAUUUCUCUACUGCUGCCAUCCUCUGUUCCAUCUUUUCUUCCUCACUCUCUGUUUUUUCAGAUCCGGCAGGUCGGACCAACUGUUAGGUUCCUAGACAGAAAAACCAGAAUUCCCUCCCAAACNNNNNNNNNNNNNNNNNNNNNNNNNNNNNNNNNNNNNNNNNNNNNNNNNNNNNNNNNNNNNNNNNNNNNNNNNNNNNNNNNNNNNNNNNNNNNNNNNNNNNNNNNNNNNNNNNNNNNNNNNNNNNNNNNNNNNNNNNNNNNNNNNNNNNNNNNNNNNNNNNNNNNNCUCACCACAACUAACUAACCCAACAACUAACUAACCCGCUUAACCCUUAUUUUUAAAUUUCCUUCUAUGAUACACCCUCCAAGUGCUGUCUUUAUUUUCCUGCCUAACAGUCAGUCACUAGUGUCAAGAACCUCAGCAUGGAUGUUAACUGAAUGGGAAGAAGAUAGCUAAUAGAGGCAUUGGAGUACCUAGGCGCCAUAUAUGUUUUCUUAUGUUAUAUAAAAUAAUCAUUUGGGGAUGGGGAAUUGAAAUUUGAACAAACCAACCUUUUGCUCGCCUGAUGGAAUCUUCAAAGUGUAACAACAACCACGUGGUUGAAUUUCACCAGCAAACUGUACUUCAUUGUUCCUAACAGAUAAAAUCAAUAAUUAUAAAAGAAAGAAAAAUUAAGAGGAAGAUCAAAGGAACUAAUUAUGUUCAACGCACACGGAGAGGGCAUAGACUAAAGGGCCGUUUACCUCUCACCACAAUGUGGACAUUCAAAAGCUGAUAACAAAAUCUGCAGGAAAUGUAAAUGUGACAAUGAGUUAUAUUUCAGAAAACUAAUGGACAGACAAAACAAAAGAAACAGCAGAUAAAAAUAAUAUGUAUUACGAUCCAUUAUGUAAUUUGUGAAUCAAUAAUGCUAAUUCAUUUAAUUGAAAUAUGUAACAAAUAACAUCAGGGAGAAAAGUGAAUGAGGCCUAAACAUAAGGAAAGACAGAAAUAAAGAUGAAAUUUAACUACAUAUAUGAUAUAUCCCAAUACCUACUAACAGUAACCACUUGCCAAUCACAAGAGCAAAUGGAGCAAUAGACAAGACAUACCUUUCUGAAGUGGGGAAUUAAAGUCAAUAAAAAUCUUGUAAUCCCCUGACAAACAUGACAGAAAUUCAAGUCAGAUGAUAAAAUUUAAAUAUUUUGGAUGAAGAUACAAUAUUAAGACUUAGGGUGAAUUUGACUCAUUUGUUGAGCGAUAAAUAAUUGUUUCCUUGAUUUUUAACAUGGCCCUGGAUAGAACAACACAAAAGACGAAACACACAAAAAAUGUAAAUAUUCAUUACUCAAUUACUCGGGUAAUAAUGUUGCUUGUAAAUAAA
This 4255-nucleotide long non-coding RNA is filed under the name Phaseolus vulgaris (common bean). Its description in RNAcentral is "long non-coding RNA (PVUL_LNC003227)". Lineage: Eukaryota; Viridiplantae; Streptophyta; Magnoliopsida; Fabales; Fabaceae. The record is from RNAcentral.